UGGGGAAUUUUGGACAAUGGGCGAAAGCCUGAUCCAGCAAUGCCGCGUGCGUGGAGAAGGCAUUCGGGUUGUAAAGCACUUUUGUCCGGAAAGAAAUCCUUGGCUCUAAUACAGUCGGGGGAUGACGGUACCGGAAGAAUAAGCACCGGCUAACUACGUGCCAGCAGCCGCGGUAAUACGUAGGGUGCAAGCGUUAAUCGGAAUUACUGGGCGUAAAGCGUGCGCAGGCGGUUUGCUAAGACCGAUGUGAAAUCCCCGGGCUCAACCUGGGAACUGCAUUGGUGACUGGCAGGCUAGAGUAUGGCAGAGGGGGGUAGAAUUCCACGUGUAGCAGUGAAAUGCGUAGAGAUGUGGAGGAAUACCGAUGGCGAAGGCAGCCCCCUGGGCCAAUACUGACGCUCAUGCACGAAAGCGUGGGGAGCAAACAGGAUUAGAUACCCUGGUAGUCCACGCCCUAAACGAUGUCAACUAGUUGUUGGGGAUUCAUUUCCUUAGUAACGUAGCUAACGCGUGAAGUUGACCACCUGGGGGAGUAC
Molecule: ribosomal RNA, 536 nt
Filed under: uncultured bacterium
Lineage: Bacteria
Description: partial 16S ribosomal RNA
Rfam family: Bacterial small subunit ribosomal RNA
Source: RNAcentral